Molecule: ribosomal RNA, 301 nt
Filed under: uncultured bacterium
Lineage: Bacteria
Description: partial 16S ribosomal RNA
Rfam family: Bacterial small subunit ribosomal RNA
Source: RNAcentral
CAGUAGCCGCGGUAAUACGAAGGUCCCGAGCGUUGUUCGGAAUCACUGGGCGUAAAGGGAGCGUAGGCGGUAUGGUAAGUCAGAUGUGAAAUCCCGGGGCUCAACCCCGGAACUGCAUCCGAUACUGCCGUGCUAGAGGACUGGAGAGGCAACUGGAAUUCUCGGUGUAGCAGUGAAAUGCGUGGAGAUCGAGAGGAACACUCGUGGCGAAAGCGAGUUGCUGGACAGUAUCUGACGCUGAGGCUCGAAGGCCAGGGUAGCGAAAGGGAUUAGAUACCCCGGUAGUCCCUGUCUCUUAUAC